GACUGCGACUUCCGAUGUAAAUGAAGAGAACACGCUAGCAGAUGUAUAAAAGUUUAUGGAGAAAGGAUCUGGUGCAGCUAAAGAAGGUGAUUUUGGUGAAGCAUCUGAAUACUAUAGUCGUGUCCUAGAAAUCAGGAGGUGAAAUGGGGAUUUACAUGUUCUAAUUUUUAUAGAAAAUUUUUUAAAAGAUCUGUUACUAAUCGUGCUGAAAAAUGAGCGUUUCGCUAUUCAUCAAGUGCGUCACUAUUGGUGAUGGAGUCGUUGGAAAAACUAGUAUGCUGAUACACUAGCAAAACAUUCCCAACUGAUUAUGUCCCCACCAUUUUUGAUAAUUUUAGUGCAAACGUUGUUGUGGAUGAGAACACGGUAAAUCUAGGGUUAUGGGAUACUACAGGUAAAAUCUUUCCCAUAUGAUUUCAUUAUCUGUAUAUAUAUAUCCUAGAUAUGAAAUUGGUAACAUUAAUUAUAGAUCAAGAGGAUUACAAUAGACUUAGAUCUUUGAGUUAUCGAGGAGCAGAUAUUUUCAUUCUUGUAUUUUCUCUUAUUAGCAAGGCCAGUUUUGAAAAUGUUGCCAAGAAGGUUUGAAUGUUACUUCAUCUUUUUCUGUUUUUGAGUUAAAGUAACAUUAUUAAACGAUUGGUUUUGGAUUUUA
Long non-coding RNA from Impatiens glandulifera, 652 nucleotides. RefSeq lists it as uncharacterized. The record is from RefSeq and is a predicted model, not a curated record. NCBI's taxonomy places the organism in Eukaryota, Viridiplantae, Streptophyta, Magnoliopsida, Ericales, Balsaminaceae. The transcript has 3 exons.